AGCAGCAGCCGCGGGAAUACAGAGGGUGCGAGCGUUAAUCGGAUUUACUGGGCGUAAAGCGUGCGUAGGCGGCUUUUUAAGUCGGAUGUGAAAUCCCUGAGCUUAACUUAGGAAUUGCAUUCGAUACUGGGAAGCUAGAGUAUGGGAGAGGAUGGUAGAAUUCCAGGUGUAGCGGUGAAAUGCGUAGAGAUCUGGAGGAAUACCGAUGGCGAAGGCAGCCAUCUGGCCUAAUACUGACGCUGAGGUACGAAAGCAUGGGAGCAAACAGGAUUAGAUACCCCCGUAGUCCCUGUCUCUUAUACA
RNAcentral lists this ribosomal RNA (303 nucleotides) under uncultured bacterium. RNAcentral's name for it is "partial 16S ribosomal RNA". It matches the Rfam family "Bacterial small subunit ribosomal RNA", at positions 507 to 808 of the family's 1533-position model. The record is from RNAcentral.